AGGAUAAACGCUGGCGGCGUGCCUAAUACAUGCAAGUCGAGCGGUAAGGUUCUCACUCUGUACUUAAAGAAAUUUAAGUGUGGUGUGAGAAUACACGAGCGGCGGACGGCUGAGUAACGCGUAGGAACGUACCCCAAAGUGAGGGAUAAGCCCGGGAAACCGGGUCUAAUACCGCAUGUGAUCUUCGGAUUAAAGCUUCGGCGCUUUGGGAGCGGCCUGCGUAUGAUUAGCUUGUUGGUGAGGUAAAAGCUCACCAAGGCGACGAUCAUUAGCUGGUCUGAGAGGAUGAUCAGCCAGACUGGGACUGAGACACGGCCCAGACUCCUACGGGAGGCAGCAGUAGGGAAUUUUCCGCAAUGGGCGCAAGCCUGACGGAGCAACGCCGCGUGCAGGAGGAAGGCCUUCGGGUCGUAAACUGCUUUUAUGUGCGACGAUUUUGACGGUUAACACAUGAAUAAGGGUCUGGCUAACUACGUGCCAGCAGCCGC
RNAcentral lists this ribosomal RNA (488 nucleotides) under uncultured bacterium. RNAcentral's name for it is "SSU rRNA". It matches the Rfam family "Bacterial small subunit ribosomal RNA", at positions 26 to 518 of the family's 1533-position model. The record is from RNAcentral.